UACGUAGGGUGCAAGCGUUAAUCGGAAUUACUGGGCGUAAAGCGUGCGCAGGCGGUGAUGUAAGACAGUUGUGAAAUCCCCGGGCUCAACCUGGGAACUGCAUCUGUGACUGCAUCGCUGGAGUGCGGCAGAGGGGGAUGGAAUUCCGCGUGUAGCAGUGAAAUGCGUAGAUAUGCGGAGGAACACCGAUGGCGAAGGCAAUCCCCUGGGCCUGCACUGACGCUCAUGCACGAAAGCGUGAGGAGCAAACAGG
RNAcentral lists this ribosomal RNA (253 nucleotides) under uncultured bacterium. Its description in RNAcentral is "partial 16S ribosomal RNA". It matches the Rfam family "Bacterial small subunit ribosomal RNA", at positions 524 to 776 of the family's 1533-position model. The record is from RNAcentral.